Long non-coding RNA from Cynocephalus volans (Philippine flying lemur), 311 nucleotides. RefSeq lists it as uncharacterized. The record is from RefSeq and is a predicted model, not a curated record. NCBI's taxonomy places the organism in Eukaryota, Metazoa, Chordata, Mammalia, Dermoptera, Cynocephalidae. The transcript is spliced from 3 exons.
CCAUCACGGGUCGCUUCCAGCAGCCAGAAGGACUUCAUUUAACAACGCAAAGUACAGGGUGUCCCGCCACAGAUUGUCUCAGCACUGGGAAGAUUCUGCUCCGUUUUCUCCCGUUCUGCAUGGAUUCUCUCUCGAAGGAAGCCGUCUUUCCAAUCGUCCCUCUGGGAUAGGUGGUGAACACAAAGGGAGAUUCAACCCGUACUAGUAAUCUUCACAACCCCUUUGCAUUCACCGCCCUCAGCACCUGCUGAGCAGUGGCCACAGCUGGCCGGCGUUCAUGUGCUUCAUCAGACCUAAGAAGGACGGGCAGU